UACGUAGGGGGCAAGCGUUGUCCGGAAUCAUUGGGCGUAAAGAGCGUGUAGGCGGCCAGAUAAGUCCGCUGUGAAAUCUCGAGGCUCAACUUCGAGCUGUCGGUGGAAACUGUCUGGCUAGAGUCCGGAAGAGGAGAAUGGAAUUCCUGGUGUAGCGGUGAAAUGCGCAGAUAUCAGGAAGAACACCCGUGGCGAAGGCGGUUCUCUGGGACGGUACUGACGCUGAGACGCGAAGGUCAGGGGAGCAAACGGG
This 253-nucleotide ribosomal RNA is filed under the name uncultured bacterium. Its description in RNAcentral is "partial 16S ribosomal RNA". It matches the Rfam family "Bacterial small subunit ribosomal RNA", at positions 524 to 776 of the family's 1533-position model. The record is from RNAcentral.